This 1898-nucleotide long non-coding RNA is filed under the name Homo sapiens (human). RNAcentral's name for it is "HSALNT0173308". Lineage: Eukaryota; Metazoa; Chordata; Mammalia; Primates; Hominidae. The record is from RNAcentral.
GGAAAAGUGAGUACCGGCUAGUAUCGCGAGAUCAGGAAGGUGGCCGAGUGUGUCGCCGCGGCCAUCAGGGGCUAGAGCAAUGUAUCUUAGGCUCACUUAAGGAAGCUGUAGAGAUGAGCCCAAGGAGGGAAACCAGAAGAGCCCCCCAGGCUCACCAGUUGUUUGUUGGCUCCCUACAAACAUGUCAUUCAAGUGGCUAAUCUUACAACAGCACAAAUUCAUCUAACCAGAAAGAGAAGAGGAGGCUCCAAAGGCACUUGACUACUGAGCAUCACCCUGGACGUGUACAAGUCUGCGUCCUUAUUGUUUUCUUCAUUGGGCCGAACUUUCUGGUCCUCAUCCAACAGCUCUUCUAUCACGUGUUCGAAAGUGUCAGCCAAUGAUGUCAAGCCUCUUGAACCUGCCUUGGGCCCAUUCACGCUCUCCAGAGUCCCAUGGGUCCGCACACCUGGAGAUACUCUAUUAUAGCAAAGAAGAAAGAUAAUUUCAUUGAGCCAUCCUGUUUUACAGCACCCAACAGAAUCCCUUCAAAGCCUCGUGGUCUGACACCCUAUGCUACGUGACUUGUGACCCAUCCAUUUGUCAUGUUCUUCGGGAAUGUGGCUAAGGGGCUAAGAUGUGACUUGAAAAGAAAGGUAGAACAAGAUCAUCUCAAAUUUAUUAUCAAGGAAUAGUUCAGAAAACGACUUCAGACCACAGAGACAGCAGAACAGAUGGUCCGGCAUGGAUAGAGCAUCAGACACUCACAGACUGUGCCAACAAGAGCCAUCGAGUCAAAACAGCCAAAGGAAGGAGGGUCAUGGAAUGGGUUCUCUCACACCAAACUGAUGCCCAGAGGCCCUCAGCAUGAAUAACAAAGGCAACCAGACCCACAAGCCAUACUGAGUGGAUACAAAACCUAUACCUAGGCUGACAUCCCAAAUGUGUGUGGCAAGUUAGAUGAUGAUGGCACAAAAGACAGAACACCUUGCUUCUGGCCAUUGUCAGCUCUUGGAAGAGAGCACACUUUUAGAGGAGCAGCUGCAAGGAGCCUGAGAACAAAACUGGAAAUGUCUGUUAUGAAAGCCUUCACAGGAAAUUCUGCAAGUGGCAACGUGGGUCCAUUCCGUGUGUGUCACUAGAGCUGGCGCAAGCCCAUGGCCAUGGUGAGGCAGCGUUUCCACUGGAACUAAUCUGAUACCUGCACCAGCUCUUGCAACUGUGCAGUGUUCCCACUGCAAACUACGGAUGGGGUAAAAGACUGCUCACCUCCUAUUUCUCAUCUAAUCUCACACACUCUGUUUGAUGAGGCUAUGGAGAAACAGGUCUUCUCAUACACUAAAGGUGGGAGUACAAACAAUUCAAGCCCUGUGCAGGACAAUUAGGCAAUACCUAUCAAAAUUAUACAUGAUUUUUCCUGCUGACCCAGCAAUUCCACUUCUGGGAAUAAUUGACAGAUAUAGGUGCAUAUGUACAAAAUGAUGGAAAGCUCUCUGGUAUAUAUUAGUAAGUGAUAAAACAAGGUGUAAAAUAGUGUAUAUAUGGCUACUACCUUUUGUUUUAAAAAUGGGGGAAAAUGGUGGAGCUUGCGGUGAGCCGAGAUCGUGCCACUGCACUCCAGCCUGGGCGACAGAGCGAGACUCCGUCUCAAAAAAAAAACAGGGUGGGGUGGGGGGGAAAUAAUAGUACAUACUCAUAUUUACCUGUAUCUAUAUAAAACACACUAUCAAGGAUUCACAAGAAACUAAUACAAAUGAUCACCUUAUAGAUGGUAUGUAUUGGGGGAUACUGAGGUGAGCAGGGUAUAAGUGGGGCAAGACUUUUCAGUGUAAACUUCUUUUAAAUUUUAUUUUGAUUUUUGAAUAAUGUAAAUUAACUGUCAAAUAAUUAAAUUAAAAAUAACCAAUUUAUUAACAAAA